RNAcentral lists this long non-coding RNA (416 nucleotides) under Carica papaya (papaya). Its description in RNAcentral is "long non-coding RNA (CPAP_LNC014704)". Lineage: Eukaryota; Viridiplantae; Streptophyta; Magnoliopsida; Brassicales; Caricaceae. The record is from RNAcentral.
UGACCUUUUUGGAAGUCCCCUCGUGAUGCACCAGUUUUUUUACGAGCGGGACAUUAAACGUUGCUCGCGACUGGAGACACGGUCCACCGGUUCAUUUACUGGCAUAAGUUGUAAUGCCGGGUCAUUUGGCUUAAUAUUUUUCGUGCAUUUAUUUAUAGUCCAUCACGUCAUAAGAGUGUCAUUACGAGUAUGUUACAUAGUAGAACAACAAAAAUAGAUGUGCGGCGAGCAGUCUGUUCAUCUAGGCAUGAGUCGAGGCAUUGGGGCAUUUCACUUGAUAUUAGAACUAGCGCAUAGUGAAAUAAAUGAUGGGAGGGGGAGGGAAGGAGAAAGAGCACAUGCAUUUGCAACACAGAAUGAGAAGCGUGCGAUCAUACCAACCCUAACGCACCAGAUCCCACCAGAACUCCAUAGUG